Molecule: long non-coding RNA, 585 nt
Organism: Acanthopagrus latus (yellowfin seabream)
Lineage: Eukaryota; Metazoa; Chordata; Actinopteri; Spariformes; Sparidae
Exons: 3
Source: RefSeq, a predicted model, not a curated record
GUCUCGACUGCUCGUAGAACCGGAAAGGCAGGCCGCUGGGUGAAGCGUUGGCUGUCUGGCCGAAACCCAACACCUCUGUUGCACUGGGCUGCACAGGGAGGUCCAACAGAGCUGCGUACAGAGUGGAGUGGAGAGUAAUGAGACCAUCUGGAGGGGAAGUCCAAGUGGCUGAUGGGUAAAUCCAUACGUCUGUCAGUGAAUACACAUAAGGAAGAACCAGCUUUUUCGCAUAUCUUCCCUGGAAAAUGAUAUGAAGCACUCAGGAAACAACAGAAAUAAACACCCGAUAAAAGAAGAAGGGAAAAAAACAAUAGAAGAGAAAGAGGAAGAAAAACAAGGAACAAGAAAUCUAAGAAAGAGAAAAACAAGGAAUCGCACAAAGAAAGAAGAAACACUAACGAAGGCAUGUAAGGAACAGUGAAGCCUGGAUGAAUCGUCGCAAAUAACAAAGGAAAUUAAAAAAAACAAAGCGUGUGUGAGGAAGAAGUACAACCGAGAAAUAACAGAAUGAUAAAAAAAAAAAUCCUUGAUUUUAAUGACUGAACACUUUUAGCACAGAGGACAGCUGAACAGAUAUGAACACAA